Molecule: ribosomal RNA, 420 nt
Filed under: Russula rubra
Lineage: Eukaryota; Fungi; Basidiomycota; Agaricomycetes; Russulales; Russulaceae
Description: partial 12S small subunit ribosomal RNA
Rfam family: Bacterial small subunit ribosomal RNA
Source: RNAcentral
UGAUAUUACCUUAUUAUUAGUGUCGUCCAAAACUGGUGCCAGAAGACUCGGUAAGGCCAGAGACACAAACGUUAAUCGUCUUAAUCAGGCGUAAAGGGUUUGUAGGCGGCUUUAAAAUUUACUUAUAUAAAUAAAAAGUAAAAAAUAAAAGCUAGAAUCAAAUAGAGGAUAUAUGAAAUAACGCUUAGAGUAGGUCUGAUAUCCUUAGAUACUAAGUAGAAUAUUAAAGGCGAAAGCUUUUUUCCAUUAAUGAUUGACGCUCAGAAACGAAGGUGAGGAUAGGAAAUAGGAUUUGAUACCCAGAAUACCCCUCUCUGUCAACGAUGAAUGGUAGUUAUUAGUAAAAAUUUAUUAAUGGCAAUGUUAACACGAUAACCAUUCCGCCUUGUGAGUACAACUGCNAAGUUGAAAACAAAAAAA